This 272-nucleotide ribosomal RNA is filed under the name uncultured bacterium. RNAcentral's name for it is "partial 16S ribosomal RNA". It matches the Rfam family "Bacterial small subunit ribosomal RNA", at positions 27 to 205 of the family's 1533-position model. The record is from RNAcentral.
GGAUGAACGCUGGCGGCGUGCUUAAGACAUGCAAGUCGAACGGCAGCAUGUUCCUCUCUGAGGUUCGGAACAGAAAUUAGCAAUUAGCAAGCAGCAAUUAGAGACUUAAAAUCCUAAUUUCUAGUUGCUAGUUCCUAGUUACGAUCAUUCCGAGCUUGAGAGAGGAAUGAUGGCGAGUGGCGGACGGCUGAGUAACGCGUAGGAACGUACCCCAAAGUGAGGAAUAACUCCGAGAAAUCGGUGCUAAUACCGCAUGUGCUCUAAGGAGUAAA